AGGCUGUGCUUGUGGACAUCUUCUCAGUAACUCUUUAUAUCUUUCCCAUGCUUCAUAAAGUGAUUCUCCUUUCUGCUGCACAAAAGAUGUUAUUUCUCCUCUCAGCUU
Molecule: small nucleolar RNA, 108 nt
Organism: Abrus precatorius (Indian licorice)
Lineage: Eukaryota; Viridiplantae; Streptophyta; Magnoliopsida; Fabales; Fabaceae
Source: RefSeq, a predicted model, not a curated record